RNAcentral lists this ribosomal RNA (253 nucleotides) under uncultured bacterium. Its description in RNAcentral is "partial 16S ribosomal RNA". It matches the Rfam family "Bacterial small subunit ribosomal RNA", at positions 524 to 776 of the family's 1533-position model. The record is from RNAcentral.
AACGUAGGUUCCGAGCGUUAUCCGGAUUUACUGGGCGUAAAGCGCGUUCAGGCGGUUUGGCAAGUCGGGCAUGAAAUCUCUCGGCUCAACCGGGAGAGGUUGUCCGAUACUUCCAGACUUGAGGGCAGUAGAGGGUGGUGGAAUUCCGGGUGUAGUGGUGAAAUGCGUAGAUAUCGUGAGGAACACCAGAGGCGAAGGCGGCUACCUGGACAAUUGCUGACGCUCAGGCACGAAAGCGUGGGGAGCAAAAGGG